Elaeis guineensis (African oil palm) is the source of this 1505-nucleotide RNA transcript. RefSeq lists it as uncharacterized. The record is from RefSeq and is a predicted model, not a curated record. Lineage: Eukaryota; Viridiplantae; Streptophyta; Magnoliopsida; Arecales; Arecaceae.
ACAAGUAUGGAUGUGAAUUUUUGCAUCCGACAAAUAUCCCUAUCCGUAUGUAUAUUCCUCAAACAAAACAAAUCUGAAUAUGGAUAUAUUGGUAUCUGAUCCGUAUCUGGUUUCUGCCCUAAGAUAGAUAGAUGCGAAGACUGCCCUUGGGUACCUCCAACUUGUAAGGAAGGACCACAAAACUGAAAAAGAUAUCAACUUCUAGAGAUAGAAAGGAGGGGAAUCCACAGUCAUUGCUUUAUUGGAGAUGGAUGUGAAUUGAUAAGGAUUCUAAAUAUCAGCAGGAAUGUGUAUCUCCAGGACCACUCCCCGGUUAAGAUUCUUGGCACUGUGGCACUGGAGUCCUUUUCAUCGGAGGAGCUGUAUUUCCGGCCAAUGACCACCUAAUCCACUUGUUCAACAGGAUCAGCUCUUUUCAUGGAUCCAAACCUGCCACACCUUUGGAAAGAUGAAUGAUUGUGUAAAUCAAUAUGAUAGCUUGACUAGGCCAUCCCCUGAAGCACCUGAUUGUGCUGUUUCUUUGUCCUCUUUGAAUGUCAGUUAUCUACACUAUCUUAUAACAAUAAUACUCUGUUUUUAAGUAGUGUUUUUUGUUUCAAAUUAAGCUUGGAAGAGUGAAAGAAUAAUGCAGUGAUCUCAGUUUAUUAUGAUAGUUAUCUUCACUUUAGACAUUAUAAAGCUUGUUUUCAGCAGACAGUAUGUAUCAAUAGUAUCAAUAGCUUUUUCUUGAAUAUGUGUAGUAAUGUGUAGCUAAAACCAAUUACAUGGCAAAGAAUGCUAGGCUAUGAUUUAUUUGCAGCUAUAUUACACCACGGCACUAAUGUAUAAGAAAUACAGUACAGAAAUUCUGGAUUAUUAAGCCACACUCUCUCUAGCUUGUCCAACUUCAGAUGAGCUACUUUCAUGGAUCUUUUGGAGUGGGAAUGCGUGACAGGUUCAGUAACUUGGAGAGGACCAGGACCAGCGUGGUCCCAGGGAUUGAGGUUCUUUGGAUCAAUAUGGUGAAAGGAAUUUGGGAUUUCAGAAUUCAGCCAACCUAUGAGGCUGAAACUGAUGUCUCACUCCACAAAGAUUUCAGUGAUAUCCAAGUUAUGAUCAGUGGUAAUCAAUCCUCUGUGCUGUUGGGUAUGGCAUAUUCUAUUUCCUCCAAUUUGUUAGAUAUUAGGGGAGGCUAGAUAACAUUUGGUUUGAAGCAAUGAGAUGAGAUUUAGAGAUCAUUUUCAUCCCCAUGGCAAACUAGGAUCAAUGGGUUGUAAGUCAAAUGAAAUUAACCUAGCCUACGUAGUUGGGUUAAUACAUGAAGGCAGGAUGAAAUUAUUAUUGCCAGUAGACCUCAAAUAUCAUUCGCUUACCCAUUUCUGAUCAUAUAUAUGAUGAAUAUACUGUGAGCUAAUGUUAUUUGAUAUACAGAACCUCUCUACUUAUGUGAUGCAUUUUAUAAAUUUUAAUAUUUAUGGUUAUUUUAAUUUGUUAUAAUAUAAUCGUUUAUUGCUGAUUUUUGAAAU